AACAAUUGGCCAUUUACGACAUCACAUAUUGCAUUCAGUGUACAUCUUGAUGUGCCAAUCAUUAGAUCAUAUUGAGUUAUUUAAAUAUUAUAAUAAAUUCAACCAAGACCUUUGUCUAUGAACGAUGCUGACUGUUUAAGACCAGAGUUACAUGGCCAUGUGAAGUCAGCUUCUACCAUCUGCAGUAUCAAAUGAACUCUAUCCCCGAGUCCUUUAGCAAGUAAUGAAUACACUGUGUCCGUGACAAGCAUGAGUCGAUCCAAGCCAUAAUUUAAUUUGUCAUCCUUCGAUACUUUAUCAAGGACUGAUGUUUUAAGAAGUUCCAUAUUUUUAAAUCUGAAAUAAAACGUUUCUCUAGUAUUAUUCAAUAGUAUGAUGCUAAUUACAUAAAAUAUUUCAGUUAAAGCAGUGCACAUAAUCCGUACUUUUUCAAUGUCAGUUCUGCAACUAAAAUAAUGUCCUGCAAUGUUUCUUUGACUUAAAUGGCGAUCUACGGCCAAAUGGCAAUUGUAUAAAAGUCGGUUUUCGUAAAGAAAAAUGAACCGUGAGCUCAUUAACCUAAGCAAAAAAAAGUAAGUUAAUCAUAACUUAUUUUUUUCAUAUUGUGUGAAACCAACUGUUGGUUACAUUGAUUUUCCUACCACUCAAUUCUGUUUUAAAAACAAAUACAAUAAAAUCAAGUUUGGAUUUAAAUAUUUCACAUGAUUUUCCAGUUGUCCCAUCUAUGUAGCUCCUAAGAUGCAAGGUUUAUUUUGUAAUAAAGAAAAAAAUGUAAGUACUUAAAUAAACUUACCUCAAUAUAUGAUCAAAUUUCAUGAGCAUUUUAACUGGUGUCAUAAACAGUGGUAUAAAACUAUUUAUUUUCACAUUAUCAAGCAUUUCCACAGCUAAGGCACAUUCUCUCUUCAGUGCGUAAUAUGUCCCUUUACAAAUUUGCCAGCAUAUAUUGUAGUAUCCUGUGCUGUCUAUAAAUACUAUAGGAAAAUUUUGGUGGAAUUCUUCAAGGGAUGGAGUAGCAUCUGCGGCUUUGCAUAGUGAGAUACCUUUCUUGUCCCAUUCUGAUGUUUCUAAAAUUGAUUUAUUAUUUACAAUUUUAAUACUUUUAGGCAUCCAGAGGUCCACCUGUUUUAGAUCUUAUUUAGGACACUAUGAUUAAAUCUAGUAUUAAUUAGUAAAAUUAUUCUUACAAUUAAAUUUAUUAAGUUUGAAGUUUUUAAUCACUGCAGAUAUUAAUUAGUGUGGAUAUGGCAACCUUCAAAAACAUGUGUACAGACUUACAAAUGAUGUAGUAAAUAGUAGUACUUAAAGAUUAUUCUGUUACAACAGAAUCCUGAACAGUCUCUGUGAUAAUAUGAGUAUGGCUAUAGUUACAGUCACUGAGUUAACUGUUGCAGUCUAAAGGUAUGUUUUUUUUGUAAAAUGUAAGGUUUAAUUAGUAAUCAGUAAGUCUAUGGUGCCAAUACUUAUAGGAGCAUGUUUUGUUAAUCAAAUAGUUUUUCUAUACUACAGAUUUUUUAUCGACUUACUCAAUGC
Long non-coding RNA from Bombyx mori (domestic silkworm), 1533 nucleotides. RefSeq lists it as uncharacterized. The record is from RefSeq and is a predicted model, not a curated record. The transcript has 3 exons. Lineage: Eukaryota; Metazoa; Arthropoda; Insecta; Lepidoptera; Bombycidae.